RNAcentral lists this ribosomal RNA (467 nucleotides) under uncultured bacterium. RNAcentral's name for it is "partial 16S ribosomal RNA". It matches the Rfam family "Bacterial small subunit ribosomal RNA", at positions 29 to 507 of the family's 1533-position model. The record is from RNAcentral.
ACGAACGCUGGCGGCGUGCUUAACACAUGCAAGUCGAACGGAAAGGCCCUGCUUUUGUGGGGUGCUCGAGUGGCGAACGGGUGAGUAACACGUGAGUAACCUGCCCUUGACUUUGGGAUAACUUCAGGAAACUGGGGCUAAUACCGGAUAGGAGCUCCUGCUGCAUGGUGGGGGUUAGAAAGUUUCGGCGGUUGGGGAUGGACUCGCGGCUUAUCAGCUUGUUGGUGGGGUAGUGGCUUACCAAGGCUUUGACGGGUAGCCGGCCUGAGAGGGUGACCGGCCACAUUGGGACUGAGAUACGGCCCAGACUCCUACGGGAGGCAGCAGUGGGGAAUAUUGCACAAUGGGCGGAAGCCUGAUGCAGCAACGCCGCGUGCGGGAUGACGGCCUUCGGGUUGUAAACCGCUUUCGCCUGUGACGAAGCGUGAGUGACGGUAAUGGGUAAAGAAGCACCGGCUAACUACGUG